AUACCUUUCUCGGCCUUUUGGCUAAGAUCAAGUGUAGUAUCUGUUCUUAUCAGUUUAAUAUCUGAUACGUGGGACAUCGUCCCACAUGAUAUUAAAUUUAUUUUUUAAGGGGAAGGGCCCAUCACAAUAGCUUGCUAUUGGGGUCCUUGAGCGUCGCCCUUGCGUUGCACUACUGCUUGGGCCUGGCGCACCCCUC
Molecule: small nuclear RNA, 196 nt
Filed under: Vitis vinifera (wine grape)
Lineage: Eukaryota; Viridiplantae; Streptophyta; Magnoliopsida; Vitales; Vitaceae
Description: U2 spliceosomal RNA
Rfam family: U2 spliceosomal RNA
About the family: U2 is a small nuclear RNA (snRNA) component of the spliceosome (involved in pre-mRNA splicing).
Source: Rfam by way of RNAcentral